ACGGGUGUGGCGCAGUCUGGUCAGCGCGGGGCGUUCGGAACGCUCAGGUCGCAGGUUCGAGUCCUGCCGCCCGUA
Molecule: transfer RNA, 75 nt
Filed under: Deltaproteobacteria bacterium
Lineage: Bacteria; Pseudomonadati; Myxococcota; Myxococcia
Description: tRNA-Pro
Rfam family: tRNA
About the family: Transfer RNA (tRNA) molecules are approximately 80 nucleotides in length.
Source: RNAcentral